Molecule: long non-coding RNA, 535 nt
Organism: Schistocerca piceifrons (Central American locust)
Lineage: Eukaryota; Metazoa; Arthropoda; Insecta; Orthoptera; Acrididae
Exons: 5
Source: RefSeq, a predicted model, not a curated record
GGGCGCCCGCGAGGAGCAGUCCGCCGUCCCGGCCGCCCGCGAGGACCAGUCCGCCGUCCCGGUCGCCCACGUAAAAGUGACAUUGUUUACACAGUCAAUCUCUCGUAUGGACAUGGCAAUCUCCGUGGACCAGGACAUGUAAGUGCUAGUGUUAGUGAAGUGACAUGUCACAGUGAUCACAUUAGUGCACGCCGACCAGGACGUCCCCAUGGACUCAGACUCAAACGCGGACGUGGACGACCUCGGGGACCUGGUCGGCUCUCUGCACCAGGACAUGCAAGUGAAGAAGAAAAUGUGCCACACCCAGGACGAGGACGUGGACGUCAACGUGGAACUGGAGUUCGACGUGGCGGUGGCGGGGGAGCAGAGGGAACGCCAGUUUCCAUGAGACCAGGGAACCCAGUUCAGGCAGAACCUGUACCAGGCUGUUCUCGUGACGAAGCUGGUGCUCCGCCAAGGUGUGGCCGUGGACGAGUUCACUUGCCAAGACCAUCCGGUGGUUACUCACAUCAGGGAGAGCCUGUACCAGGACGUU